Microcebus murinus (gray mouse lemur) is the source of this 2268-nucleotide non-coding RNA. Lineage: Eukaryota; Metazoa; Chordata; Mammalia; Primates; Cheirogaleidae. The record is from RefSeq and is a predicted model, not a curated record.
CAGAGACCUCCGGAGCAGCCUAGAGACCAGCGGCAAGGGGCCGGUUUCCCAGGAAGGACUGAAGGCAGAUAUUUGCAGACAGGAGGUUAAUCAGGGCGUGCGGUCAGGAAGCGAGGAAGUGAGGGCAGGGGCAGCUGAACUGUGGCUCAGGUGCGACCGAAUCCAGCGGGAUCCGCCUGCCACAGGUGGCCACUUGGAAGGAUCGUGCCGUGUCGGGGCUCAGCCCUGGUCUUGGGUGGACACUCGCGGCACGGAGGCUUAGGCCUCUGACCGACGCCCAGCCGCCUGCCUCGAUGGCGACUCCACGAGCCAUUCUCCUUCUGCGCUGAGCGCGCGACCAGACGCACCACCGACCCACUGCCCCAGGCUUUCAGGGCCAGCCCGAGUGGGGCUGGCGGGCGGCAGCCGCCCCGGGCAGCUUGAGGCCGAUUCUAAGCUGAUCCAUCCAGCAGAUGAGCGGGGCCUUCCUCUGCCUGCGCCCGCGGGCCAGGCGACGUCCCCAGCUGUGUGCGGUCCAGAGUGAUGUCCCCAGCUGCGUGCGGUCCGGGCGACGUCCCCAGCUGUGUGCGGUCCAGAGCGAUGUCCCCAGCUGCGCGCGGUCCGGGCGACGUCCCCAGCUGUGUGCGGUCCAGAGUGAUGUCCCCAGCUGCGCGCGGUCCGGGCGACGUCCCCAGCUGCGCGUGGUCCAGAGUAAUGUCCCCAGCUGUGUGCGGUCCGGGCGACGUCCCCAGCUGUGUGCGGUCCAGAGUGAUGUCCCCAGCUGUGUGCGGUCCGGGCUACGUCCCCAGCUGCGCGCGGUCCGGAGUGACGUCCCCAGCUGCGCGCGGUCCGGAGUGACGUCCCCAGCUGUGUGCGGGCACCAACCAGGGGAGGGGCCGGAGCGCCCCUGGUGAAUGAAUGGGGGUCUGAGAUCCCACCUGGAACUGACCCUCGCGCUAUAACCCCGAGGUAAGGUCAUGAAAUGAGGAAGAGAAUGAGAAGAGGAAGAACAGGAGAGUGAUAAGAAAUGAUCAAAAGGAAGAAAAAAACCCACGGGAGGAUGCCUCCGGGGGGUGUCUUGAUAAAGGACUAGUGAGCAGAGAACCAAAAACUUUCUCCACUUGCCUUCCACAUGUCCUGUUUCUGACUUCCCACCUACCUCUUUCCCGCCCCAAGCUCCUUUGGUUCCUCACUUCCUGGACCUCGAAGUGUGGGGGUGUCGCCCAGCCCAGCCCCCAAGCCACUUCUCUUUGCUUCCCACACUCGGUGACAUCAUCCCGUCUCACGGCUGUAAGGGUCUUCUCUAACCGUCUCUGUGCUUCCACGUCCCAAACUUACGUCCCCAGCGCAGCCCUGCCCCGUCCCCCAGACCCGCACGCCCAGUCUGGACGCCCAGCAGGACGCUCGCAACUUAGUGGCACACAGCUAAGCUUCCGGUGCCCCCGGUCUUCCACAUCUCAGUAAAUGAUAACUGUUUUUCCCAGUAGCUCGGGCCAAAAGCGUAGAGUCUCCCUGGACACCCCCUUUCCUCCUCACCCCUUAUCUCACCUCCUAUUUGUGAUCAAAUCAUCUCAGCAACAUUUGUCCACAUCCAGCCGCUUACCACUCCUACAGCAAGCGGCUGGUUUAAGCCACCAUCCACUCCUGUGCUCCUGUCGCCUUGUCUCUGCCUUUGCCCCCCUUCCUUCCAUUCUCCACACUGCAGCCAACAUCGCGCUGUGACACAGAAGUCGAGUUGUGUCACUUCUCUGCUUAUAGCCCCCACCGGCUCCCUGGCAUGCUCCUGGUAAAAACGCUCGCGGGUACCUGGGCCUGGGUCCUGGGGGGGCUGACCUCUCCGCUCCUCAACAGCGCAGGGGAGGCCUUCAUGCUCGCCCUUCCUGCUGCCUGGCACUCUGCCCCACAAGUCCACAGGUUCCCUCCCUCACCUCUUUCAGAUCCCCGGUCAAAUGUCACCUUUUCAGAAAGGCCUUCCCUAUAAUACCUAAUUUAAAAUUGAAGGAAAAAGAUACCUCUCCUUUUCUCCCUUGUGGUAGAUUGCAUGGCGCCCCCCUCAAAAGAUAUAUCUAAAUCCUGCCCCCAGAAUCUGAGAAUGUGCCCUUAUUUGGAAAAGCAUCUUUGUAGAUUUAGUUAAAUUAUGGGUCUUGAGAUGAGAGCAUCUUGGAUUACCCAAGUGGACCCUAAAUCCAAUGACAAGUGUCCUCAUAUGAGACAGAAGAAGGGCCGGGUAUGGUGACAUGCACCUGUUAUCCCAGCUGAUUGGGAGGCUCAGGCAAGAGGAUGCUUGAG